Molecule: long non-coding RNA, 573 nt
Organism: Homo sapiens (human)
Lineage: Eukaryota; Metazoa; Chordata; Mammalia; Primates; Hominidae
Product: long intergenic non-protein coding RNA 1515
Source: Ensembl
GGCACUACAAGUGACAUGCCACUGGGCAGCACUGUUCACAUUAUGUAAGUGAUAAAAUUGACCUAAAUAUCCAUCAAUGGACAAAUAGAUCAAGAAAACAUGAUAAACAUACACAGUGGAAUACUAUACAGCUACAAAAAGAAUGACCUUCUGUCAUUUGUGACAACGUGGAUAAACCUGCAGGACAUUCUGUUAAGUGAAAUCAACCAGGUACAGAAAAACAAAUAUUGCAUGAGCUCACUCAUAUGUGGAAUCUAAAGUAAUUUUACUCAUUGACCAACCUCUUUCCAUCCCCCAUCCCCUUUUCUCUCCUCAACCUCUGGUAACUGCUGUUCUACUCUUUAUUUCUAUGAGACCACAGUUACAGUUAGAUAGGAAGAAUAAAUUCUGGUGUUCUAUUACAUAGCAGAGUGACUACAGCUAAAAAUAGUGUAUUAUAUAUUUCAAUAUAGCUAGAGAAGAAGAUCUUGAAUGUUAUCACCACAAAGAAAUGAUAAUGCUGUGGUAAUGGGUAUGUUAAUUAUCCUGAUAUGAUCAUUAAACAAUGCAUAUAUCUAUUGAAACAUCACAGUA